GUGUAAAGCGCUUUGAGUGCCCAGAAAAGUGCUAUAUAAAUGUAAGGAAUUAUUAUUAUUCCAGCUGAUGUUGCUGAUGACUGAAAGUGAGCACAAGUUUAACAGUCAAGUUAGAAAAUGCCUUAUUAGUUCUUUUUAUAUAAUAAACUUUUCUCUUUUUAGUGUCUCUGCAGGAGAGCAUUGUGGGUUUUAUUGGUGACUCAGUUGUUAUCGAAUGCUCUACUAGACAACCUGAGCUCACAGUUCAAGACAUCAUAGUGCGCUGGAGACACAAUAAUCUGAACGUGUACGACAUUAUUAAUGGACAAGUUUCAGUAGAGGGACAAAAUCAAGAAUAUAAGAACAGAGCUGAAACCUUCCCUGAUGAAUAUAAGAAUGGAAACUUCUCGCUCAAACUCAACAAUCUUCAACACAGAGAUAAAGGAAGAUACACAUGCUAUAUUAUAAGACAAUCAAUAUUAAAGAGUUUCAAUCUUAUUGUCAAAGAAAAACAAGUAAGAGGAAGUACAAACCAAGGAACAAAACCAAGACCAAAGAGGACUGCAAUAAUGUUUGCUAACUCUGCCACAGGAGUUUAUUUGAAAUUCCAUGUUCCGGUUCCAAGCCCAAAUAAAAUGAGGAGUGGCUAUAGCAGGACUUAGAUGAACAGGAAAAAAAGACAUAACAAUAUUUCAGAUUGUGGCACAUGCCACAGCCAUGUCACCCUGCAGCCCAAGACCGGUUACUCACUGAAGCUAUGCAGGGCUGAGCCUGGUCAGUACCUGGAUGGG
Danio rerio (zebrafish) is the source of this 770-nucleotide non-coding RNA. NCBI's taxonomy places the organism in Eukaryota, Metazoa, Chordata, Actinopteri, Cypriniformes, Danionidae. The record is from RefSeq and is a predicted model, not a curated record.